UACAGAGGGGGCAAGCGUUGUUCGGAAUUACUGGGCGUAAAGGGCGCGUAGGCGGCCUUCUAAGUCGAACGUGAAAUCCCUGGGCUCAACCCAGGAACUGCGUCCGAGACUGGAAGGCUUGAAUCCGGGAGAGGGAUGUGGAAUUCCAGGUGUAGCGGUGAAAUGCGUAGAUAUCCGGAGGAACACCGGUGGCGAAGGCGGCUUCCUGGACCGACACUGACGCUGAGGCGCGAAAGCUAGGGGAGCAAACGGG
This 253-nucleotide ribosomal RNA is filed under the name uncultured bacterium. RNAcentral describes it as "partial 16S ribosomal RNA". It matches the Rfam family "Bacterial small subunit ribosomal RNA", at positions 524 to 776 of the family's 1533-position model. The record is from RNAcentral.